Molecule: ribosomal RNA, 253 nt
Filed under: uncultured bacterium
Lineage: Bacteria
Description: partial 16S ribosomal RNA
Rfam family: Bacterial small subunit ribosomal RNA
Source: RNAcentral
UACGUAGGUGGCAAGCGUUGUCCGGAUUUACUGGGUGUAAAGGGCGUGUAGCCGGGCUUACAAGUCAGAUGUGAAAUCCGGGGGCUCAACCCCCGAACUGCAUUUGAAACUGUAGGUCUUGAGUAUCGGAGAGGCAGGCGGAAUUCCUAGUGUAGCGGUGAAAUGCGUAGAUAUUAGGAGGAACACCAGUGGCGAAGGCGGCCUGCUGGACUGCAACUGACGUUGAGGCCCGAAAGCGUGGGGAGCAAACAGG